UCCCUGGUGGCUCAGAGGUUAAAGCGUCUGCCUGCAAUGCUGGAGACCUGGGUUUGAUCCCUGGGUCGGGAA
This 72-nucleotide transfer RNA is filed under the name Capra hircus (goat). It matches the Rfam family "tRNA". Rfam says of the family: Transfer RNA (tRNA) molecules are approximately 80 nucleotides in length. The record is from Rfam by way of RNAcentral. RNAcentral also lists the same sequence under 2 other names. Lineage: Eukaryota; Metazoa; Chordata; Mammalia; Artiodactyla; Bovidae.